GGUUAUUGCUUCUUGUAUUGGUAUUCAGCUCGACCUAUGCAGAUGCAAGGAAUUUAAUCGGGGUUAAUUCGUCCAUAGAUAUCAAGCUACCAAGUGAAGGUAAAGUCUCAGGAUCGGUUGGAAGGAAUGAACAGAUAUGCACAUUUUGCGAAGAAUUCACUGCCCAGGCCACCUAUUAUCUUGGUGAAAACAAGACACAUGCUGAGAUAAUUGAGACCCUUCAUAAAACA
This 230-nucleotide unclassified non-coding RNA is filed under the name Hevea brasiliensis (rubber tree). Lineage: Eukaryota; Viridiplantae; Streptophyta; Magnoliopsida; Malpighiales; Euphorbiaceae. The record is from RNAcentral.